Molecule: transfer RNA, 97 nt
Filed under: Gemmatimonadaceae bacterium
Lineage: Bacteria; Pseudomonadati; Gemmatimonadota; Gemmatimonadia; Gemmatimonadales; Gemmatimonadaceae
Description: tRNA-Sec
Rfam family: Selenocysteine transfer RNA
Source: RNAcentral
GGGGGUGUCUGGGGCCUGGUGGCUCUCGUCGUCUUCAAAACGAUCGUGACCCGACGUCGUCGGGUCGGGUGGGUUCGAUUCCCAUACGCUCCCGCCA